This is a long non-coding RNA of Dermacentor silvarum, 968 nucleotides long. RefSeq lists it as uncharacterized. Lineage: Eukaryota; Metazoa; Arthropoda; Arachnida; Ixodida; Ixodidae. The transcript is spliced from 7 exons. The record is from RefSeq and is a predicted model, not a curated record.
CGCUGGAUAGUUUUAAUGUAUGCAAUAUCUGGUAUUUCUACUGCCUCUGUUGUAAUUUCUUGUCGUACUUCCUCAGGCUUCUCUUCCUUAGGUCGUGCUUUUGACUCAAGGUCUACUAUUUGCUCUGUCUCUUCCACAACUGGCACUUCCUCCUCCUCUUCAGGUUUCUUCUUUUUCUUUGGCUUCUUUGGCUUAGGUACCUUGGCCAAUUCAAUUGUUUCUGUCUCUUCAACGACUUCCUCUGUCUUGUAUUCAACCUGAGCAAUUUCCUUGGGCCUUUCCAGAGAUUCAGUGAUGAUAUCAGUGCGCUGGAUAGUCUUAACAUCAGUGAUAUCUGGAAUUUCCACAGCCUCAGUCGUGAUUUCUAGUGGUUUUUCCUCUUUCUUAAGGAUAGUGAUUUCUUCAACUACAGGCUCUUCCUUUGGCUUCUCUUCCUUUGGACGUGCUUUCGACUCGAGGUCUACUAUUUGCUCUGUCUCUUCCACAACUGGUGCUUCCUCCUCCUCUUCAGGUUUCUUCUUUUUCUUUGGCUUCUUUGGCUUAGGUACCUUGGCCAAUUCAAUCGUUUCAGUCUCUUCAACUACUUCUUCUGUCUUGUAUUCAACAUGAGCAAUUUCCUUAGGCCUUUCCAGAGAUUCAGUGAUGAUAUCUGUGCGCUGGAUAGUCUUAACAUCAGUGAUAUCUGGAAUUUCCACAGCCUCAGUCGUGAUUUCUAGUGGUUUUUCCUCUUUCUUAAGGAUAGUGAUUUCUUCAACCACUGGCUCUUCCUUUGGCUUCUCUUCCUUUGGCCGUGCUUUCGCCGUGAGGUCUACUAUUUGCUCUGUCUCUUCCACAACUGGCACUUCCUCCUCCUCUUCAGGUUUCUUCUUUUUCUUUGGCUUCUUUGGCUUAGGUACCUUGGCCAGGUUAAUUGUUUCAGUUUCUUCAACUACUUCUUCUGUCUUGUAUUCAACAUGAGCAAUUUCUUU